UGAGAUUUGGGUGGAGACACACAGCCAAACCAUAUCAAUCAAAAAAAAAGAGAAAAGCUUCUAUAGAAUUGUGGUCUGGCAUCCUGACAGCAAAUGUCGAUUUCCUUAUGAAGAUAAAAUCCUUUUAAUUAUCAGAGUAAGCACCCUCCAAAUGCCCCACCAUAUAGUCUUAAAGUGUGGAAAUAUAUUCCUUUUUCAUUCUUUAUGGAAUAAACAGAGAGAGCGGUACAAGUUGUUGAGGAGUGGCCUUUGGUCCUCUGUGUCAGGAAUGCAGAAAGGAUAAGGCUCCCAAUUGUGCUGUCAAGUCAAAAGAUGCUGAUAGAACUUGUGGGGGAGACACAGCUUUCACCCUUGGGUUACUGACUCAUUUUGCAGGAAGAUGACCAUCUUUUACUGCCCAACGACAUCUUUCUACCAAUGUGAACAGAGACUAGCAGCACAGUGAUCACCUGCAGAUAGACCUGGCUUUAUCUGUACAUAACACCAAAAGAAAAAACCUGGAUUCCAGAAGGAAAUAAAGAUUUUCAGUCCCUGCAAGAAUUCUCAAUGUUCUUCACAUAAUUUGGAGAAGAGAGAGACACAGGGGGAAGAUGGCCAUGUGAAGAUGGAGGCAGAGACUGGAGUGAUACAUCCACAAGCUAUGGAAUGCCAAGGUUUGCCAGCCAUUUAUAAGAAGCUAGGAGACAGGCGUGGAACACAUUCUCCCUCUGAACCCUCAGAAGGAACCAACACUGCCGACAUUUUGAUUCCGGACUUCUGACCUCCAGAACAAGAACCCAGACUAGCCCCAGCACUCCAGGCAAUCACCACCAAACAAUGAGAGUUGGCACAGGAUACAAGACUUCUGUCCUUCUAUGACAUGGAUUUCUUCAGCAUCCAGGUUUGCAGACUAAUGAGCAUCACCUUAAAGUAGGGCAGUGUAACUUCCUGGAAAUCAACAAUAUGUACCGUCUAAUGCCUCUUUACGCUGCAGCUCUGGGCAGACUGUAGAAUGGCCAGGCUAGCCUGCCAUGUGGGGAAACCAAUCCUGAGUAUAACCCACAGCUCCUUGUCCAUGCAAUGGGAGAUGGUCCUUUAAUGCCCAGCACAGAUUUUUUAUUGGAAUUUCCAAAGAGCAUAUCCCAUGAGCCUCGUUUCACCACAGAUAAUCAGACUAAUUCCUCAGACUCCACAGUGCCAAGUCUUUCCUUACUUGCUAGCUUCAGUGUCUGCUUUGGCCUCCUGCCCUGCUUAUGAAGCUCUGGCCCUCUCCACUGUAGAUUCCACAGCCCAUGACCUUGACUCAACUCUGUAUCUGACUCCAGCCACCCCGGGCUGACUUGCUGCCCCUUUCUCCUGCCAGCCAGGGCCCAGCAGCCCCAGAAUUGCCUGCCCUCUGUUGCCCCAUCUGCCCCUGGCCACCCAUCUCCAACACUGAAUCUCCCCAGAUGUGUCUGAUGUCUCAGCACUUUCCCUACUAGCAGCGAGUGGCACUCA
This 1476-nucleotide long non-coding RNA is filed under the name Homo sapiens (human). RNAcentral's name for it is "HSALNT0376932". Lineage: Eukaryota; Metazoa; Chordata; Mammalia; Primates; Hominidae. The record is from RNAcentral.